GGGUAUUCAAGGAAAAGAUAAUCAUUCAGAGUUCCCUGCUAACUUGGUCGUGGAUACUGUUGAGGAUGCUGUCGACUUUAUCUAGAGAAAAGAGUGCGGUUUUUGACAUCACUUAGACAAAAGAUGCCUUUUCUUUAUGUGGUAUCUGAACAAUUGCCACUUCUAUGGAAGCCGGUACGAUCUUCCAUUCUGCGUUUUCCCUAUCAUAAAAAGUAACUACCAUUAGUUAGUCUUCUAUUGAUUUUGCUCAUCGUGUAUGUAUGACGUUCCUUGAAGGCAGUCCACAUCCCAUUUGAAUUAGGUUAGAUCAAAUGAAUAAUUUAUGGUUCUUCUUACUCUUUUCUCAAUGCAUGCGAUGUCGAUUACAUGAUUUUUGGGAAAGUAUCCCAAUGUUCUUUGUUACGUGUAUAUGAGAAUUGUAAUUGGCAAAUCUGAAACCUUUAUGGACCCUUACCAAACGGGGCGAAGUUUGGAUC
This is a long non-coding RNA of Eucalyptus grandis, 476 nucleotides long. RefSeq lists it as uncharacterized. The record is from RefSeq and is a predicted model, not a curated record. The transcript is spliced from 2 exons. NCBI's taxonomy places the organism in Eukaryota, Viridiplantae, Streptophyta, Magnoliopsida, Myrtales, Myrtaceae.